GUAAGGGCAAACGAGCUGGAGGCAAGUUGUCUGUCUCAAUCUGAACAAAUUAACAGAUUGCAAGAAAAACUUACUUUUGCGGAGAAGAGAUUAGAGAUGUCCGACAUGUCAGCACUCGAAACCAGAUCAGAAUAUGAGGAGCAAAAGAAAGUAAUUUUUGAUUUGCGUCAGCGUCUUGUUGAUGCAGAAACAAAAGUUGUGGAAGGAGAGAAACUUCGGAAAAAAUUGCACAACACUAUACUGGAAUUGAAAGGCAA
RNAcentral lists this unclassified non-coding RNA (257 nucleotides) under Hevea brasiliensis (rubber tree). The record is from RNAcentral. Lineage: Eukaryota; Viridiplantae; Streptophyta; Magnoliopsida; Malpighiales; Euphorbiaceae.